This 1528-nucleotide ribosomal RNA is filed under the name Klebsiella pneumoniae. Its description in RNAcentral is "bacterial SSU rRNA". It matches the Rfam family "Bacterial small subunit ribosomal RNA". The record is from RNAcentral. Lineage: Bacteria; Pseudomonadati; Pseudomonadota; Gammaproteobacteria; Enterobacterales; Enterobacteriaceae.
AGAGUUUGAUCAUGGCUCAGAUUGAACGCUGGCGGCAGGCCUAACACAUGCAAGUCGAGCGGUAGCACAGAGAGCUUGCUCUCGGGUGACGAGCGGCGGACGGGUGAGUAAUGUCUGGGAAACUGCCUGAUGGAGGGGGAUAACUACUGGAAACGGUAGCUAAUACCGCAUAACGUCGCAAGACCAAAGUGGGGGACCUUCGGGCCUCAUGCCAUCAGAUGUGCCCAGAUGGGAUUAGCUAGUAGGUGGGGUAACGGCUCACCUAGGCGACGAUCCCUAGCUGGUCUGAGAGGAUGACCAGCCACACUGGAACUGAGACACGGUCCAGACUCCUACGGGAGGCAGCAGUGGGGAAUAUUGCACAAUGGGCGCAAGCCUGAUGCAGCCAUGCCGCGUGUGUGAAGAAGGCCUUCGGGUUGUAAAGCACUUUCAGCGGGGAGGAAGGCGUUAAGGUUAAUAACCUCAUCGAUUGACGUUACCCGCAGAAGAAGCACCGGCUAACUCCGUGCCAGCAGCCGCGGUAAUACGGAGGGUGCAAGCGUUAAUCGGAAUUACUGGGCGUAAAGCGCACGCAGGCGGUCUGUCAAGUCGGAUGUGAAAUCCCCGGGCUCAACCUGGGAACUGCAUUCGAAACUGGCAGGCUAGAGUCUUGUAGAGGGGGGUAGAAUUCCAGGUGUAGCGGUGAAAUGCGUAGAGAUCUGGAGGAAUACCGGUGGCGAAGGCGGCCCCCUGGACAAAGACUGACGCUCAGGUGCGAAAGCGUGGGGAGCAAACAGGAUUAGAUACCCUGGUAGUCCACGCCGUAAACGAUGUCGAUUUGGAGGUUGUGCCCUUGAGGCGUGGCUUCCGGAGCUAACGCGUUAAAUCGACCGCCUGGGGAGUACGGCCGCAAGGUUAAAACUCAAAUGAAUUGACGGGGGCCCGCACAAGCGGUGGAGCAUGUGGUUUAAUUCGAUGCAACGCGAAGAACCUUACCUGGUCUUGACAUCCACAGAACUUUCCAGAGAUGGAUUGGUGCCUUCGGGAACUGUGAGACAGGUGCUGCAUGGCUGUCGUCAGCUCGUGUUGUGAAAUGUUGGGUUAAGUCCCGCAACGAGCGCAACCCUUAUCCUUUGUUGCCAGCGGUUCGGCCGGGAACUCAAAGGAGACUGCCAGUGAUAAACUGGAGGAAGGUGGGGAUGACGUCAAGUCAUCAUGGCCCUUACGACCAGGGCUACACACGUGCUACAAUGGCAUAUACAAAGAGAAGCGACCUCGCGAGAGCAAGCGGACCUCAUAAAGUAUGUCGUAGUCCGGAUUGGAGUCUGCAACUCGACUCCAUGAAGUCGGAAUCGCUAGUAAUCGUAGAUCAGAAUGCUACGGUGAAUACGUUCCCGGGCCUUGUACACACCGCCCGUCACACCAUGGGAGUGGGUUGCAAAAGAAGUAGGUAGCUUAACCUUCGGGAGGGCGCUUACCACUUUGUGAUUCAUGACUGGGGUGAAGUCGUAACAAGGUAACCGUAGGGGAACCUGCGGUUGGAUCACCU